AGAGAUGGAGGUAGGGUGGAGAGAUGGAGGGGUAGAGAGAUGGAGGUAGGGGGUAGAGAGAUGGAGGUAGGGUGGAGAGAUGAAGGGGUAGAGAGAUGGAGGUAGGGUUGAGAGAUGGAGGGGUAGAGAGAUGGAGGUAGGGUGGAGAGAUGGAGGAAGGGUGGAGAGAUGGAGGGGUAGAGAGAUGGAGGUAGGGUGGAGAGAGAUGGAGGUAGGGUGGAGAGAUGUAGGGGUAGAGAGAUGGAGGGGUAGAGAGAUGGAGGUAGGGUGGAUUGAGGUAGGGUGGAGAGAUGGAGGGGUGGAGAGACGGAGGGGCGGAGAGAUGGAGGUAGGGUGGAGAGUUGGAGGGAAAGAGAGAUGGAGGUCUGGAGAGAUGGAGGGGUGGAGAGAUGGAGGUAGGAUGGAGAGAUGGAGGGGUAGAGAGAUGGAGGGGUGGAGAGGAAGCGCUAGAGAGAUGGAGAGGUGGAGGGGUGGAGAGAUGGAGAGAUGGAAGGGUAGAGAGAUGGAGGGGUGGAGAUAUUGAGGGGUAGAGAGAUGUAGGGGUAGAGAGAUGGAGGUAGGGUGGAGAGAUGGAGGGGUGGAAAUGGAGGGAUAGAGAGAUGGAGGGGUGGAGAUAGAGGAGUAGAUAGAUGGAGGGGUGGAGAUGGAGAGGUAGAUAAAUG
This is a long non-coding RNA of Oncorhynchus tshawytscha (Chinook salmon), 662 nucleotides long. The record is from Ensembl. NCBI's taxonomy places the organism in Eukaryota, Metazoa, Chordata, Actinopteri, Salmoniformes, Salmonidae.